This 343-nucleotide ribosomal RNA is filed under the name Pheidole deima. RNAcentral's name for it is "partial 16S large subunit ribosomal RNA". Lineage: Eukaryota; Metazoa; Arthropoda; Insecta; Hymenoptera; Formicidae. The record is from RNAcentral.
AAUAGUUUUUUAAAUGGAGACUGGAAUGAAAGAAGUGAUGAGAUUUAUACUGUCUUAGAUUAAAUUAUUAAAUUUAUUAAUUAAGUAAAAAUGCUUAGAUAAAAAUAUGGGACGAGAAGACCCUAUAGAAUUUUAUAUAAAUUUAUUAUUAAGAUUAUAAAAUAAUGUUAGUAGAUUUAUAUUUUGUUGGGAGGAUAGUUAAAUUAAAUAAACUUUAAUAAGAGUAAAGUCAUUAGUGAAUGAUUUAUGAAAGAUGAAUGGCUGUUUAGUUUAAGUAGAAUUAAUUACCUUAGGGAUAACAGCGUAAUAUUUUUAGAGAGAUCUUAUUGAUAAAAAUGAUUGC